GGCCUUAUGGUCUAGUCGUAUGAUUCUCCCUUUGGGUGGCUUCUGCUGCGAAUCUGGGAGAGGUCUCGGGUUCAAUUCCCGAUGAGGCCC
Molecule: transfer RNA, 90 nt
Filed under: Puccinia graminis f. sp. tritici
Lineage: Eukaryota; Fungi; Basidiomycota; Pucciniomycetes; Pucciniales; Pucciniaceae
Also listed under: 1 other name
Description: tRNA-Pro
Rfam family: tRNA
About the family: Transfer RNA (tRNA) molecules are approximately 80 nucleotides in length. Their secondary structure includes four short double-helical elements and three loops (D, anti-codon, and T loops).
Source: RNAcentral